AUUACAGACUGCUGCUGCUUCCCUUUUUGUCUGCAGCAGCCGCUGGAGUGACCAUUCUGAUGAGGAAGACAGCCAGCUUGCUACAGACUCUCCUGGGCCCAGUUGUAAGCUAAGCAGGUUCAAUGUUGUUGAACUCCUCCGUGUUCAUCAUCAGCUGACCAACACCUUUGAGCUGCCACACGGCCGAGACCACGGGAAUGGUCCCUUACAACCAAGCGCAUCCUGUCUCUGACCACAGAAAACUGCGGAUCUCUUACUGGAAGGUAUAAAAACUUCACUGUCAAUAUAAAUAUUCCAACUAUUUAAUUAUACCCCACUUAGUGUUUAUGGGAUCAGC
This 337-nucleotide long non-coding RNA is filed under the name Struthio camelus australis. RNAcentral describes it as "lncRNA (ENSSCUG00000005029.1)". The record is from RNAcentral. Lineage: Eukaryota; Metazoa; Chordata; Aves; Struthioniformes; Struthionidae.